This 434-nucleotide unclassified non-coding RNA is filed under the name Hevea brasiliensis (rubber tree). Lineage: Eukaryota; Viridiplantae; Streptophyta; Magnoliopsida; Malpighiales; Euphorbiaceae. The record is from RNAcentral.
AAAGAUCGAUAUGAUAGUAAUGAUGGAAGAGCAAUGUUGAUUGAUAAGCAUUCAAAUGGUUCUGUUAGAUUGCAUGGUGCUGAGAACGUUGAUAGGAAGAGGGAGAAGAUGGAGUAUACUGUAGCUCAACAUCCAGGGAUGGGUAGCAUACCAAAAGCGACUGAAGGGGAGCAAGUUGCAGCUGGAUGGCCUUCCUGGCUAGCUGCGGUGGCUGGAGAAGCAAUCAGGGGAUGGCUGCCACGGCGUGCAGAUUCUUUUGAGAAGCUGGAUAAAAUUGGCCAGGGAACUUACAGUAAUGUUUAUAGAGCUCGUGACCUUGAUAAGAAGAAGAUUGUUGCGUUGAAGAAAGUAAGGUUUGAUAAUCUGGAACCCGAGAGUGUUCGCUUUAUGGCCCGGGAAAUUCACAUUUUGCGUAGGCUUGACCAUCCUAAUGU